UUAGUUAAAACCAAAAAGAGGUAUAUUAUUGUUAAUAAUAAAAAUGAAUUAAUAUCUAACUAAA
RNAcentral lists this transfer RNA (64 nucleotides) under Bemisia tabaci. RNAcentral's name for it is "tRNA-Asn". Lineage: Eukaryota; Metazoa; Arthropoda; Insecta; Hemiptera; Aleyrodidae. The record is from RNAcentral.